This 619-nucleotide ribosomal RNA is filed under the name Aspergillus oryzae. RNAcentral describes it as "eukaryotic LSU rRNA". The stretch from base 213 to 366 matches the Rfam family "5.8S ribosomal RNA". Lineage: Eukaryota; Fungi; Ascomycota; Eurotiomycetes; Eurotiales; Aspergillaceae. The record is from RNAcentral.
UCCGUAGGUGAACCUGCGGAAGGAUCAUUACCGAGUGUAGGGUUCCUAGCGAGCCCAACCUCCCACCCGUGUUUACUGUACCUUAGUUGCUUCGGCGGGCCCGCCAUUCAUGGCCGCCGGGGGCUCUCAGCCCCGGGCCCGCGCCCGCCGGAGACACCACGAACUCUGUCUGAUCUAGUGAAGUCUGAGUUGAUUGUAUCGCAAUCAGUUAAAACUUUCAACAAUGGAUCUCUUGGUUCCGGCAUCGAUGAAGAACGCAGCGAAAUGCGAUAACUAGUGUGAAUUGCAGAAUUCCGUGAAUCAUCGAGUCUUUGAACGCACAUUGCGCCCCCUGGUAUUCCGGGGGGCAUGCCUGUCCGAGCGUCAUUGCUGCCCAUCAAGCACGGCUUGUGUGUUGGGUCGUCGUCCCCUCUCCGGGGGGGACGGGCCCCAAAGGCAGCGGCGGCACCGCGUCCGAUCCUCGAGCGUAUGGGGCUUUGUCACCCGCUCUGUAGGCCCGGCCGGCGCUUGCCGAACGCAAAUCAAUCUUUUUCCAGGUUGACCUCGGAUCAGGUAGGGAUACCCGCUGAACUUAAGCAUAUCAAUAAGCGGAGGAAAAGAAACCAACCGGGAUUGCCUC